RNAcentral lists this ribosomal RNA (138 nucleotides) under uncultured Aquifex sp. Its description in RNAcentral is "partial 16S ribosomal RNA". It matches the Rfam family "Bacterial small subunit ribosomal RNA", at positions 397 to 525 of the family's 1533-position model. Lineage: Bacteria; Pseudomonadati; Aquificota; Aquificia; Aquificales; Aquificaceae. The record is from RNAcentral.
CCGCGUGCGGGGAGGAAGCCCUUCGGGGUGUAAACCGCUGUCGGGGGGGACGAAGGGACCGUGGGCUAAUACCUCACGGUCUUGACGGUACCCCCAGAGGAAGGGACGGCUAACUACGUGCCAGCAGCCGCGGUAAUA